Molecule: long non-coding RNA, 182 nt
Organism: Etheostoma spectabile (orangethroat darter)
Lineage: Eukaryota; Metazoa; Chordata; Actinopteri; Perciformes; Percidae
Exons: 3
Source: RefSeq, a predicted model, not a curated record
AGUGAAAGCAGCAGUCUACCGCUCCUCCCUCACUCCUCCCUCUCCUCUAAAAUCGUCACAUCCACAACCAGGAUGGUUGCGCCCGUAACGGCAAAUUCGAUGACUCAUAGCAGAUCUCCAAAAACCAAUGGGUGACGUCACACAUGCUCUGUCCAUUAAUAUACAGUCUAUGGUUACAAUCC